UUUUCCAACAAAAUUUACUUUCAAAGAAGCAAGAAUAAAGCUUGUAACAAUUACAACUUUUAAAUCACAAACUAUGAACUACAAAACCCAAAAGGAUUCACCAACUACUAGACCUAGGCUCUGAUACCACUUGAAGGAUUAUUUUGUGAAAACAUGUUCAUUUGAGCAACAUCAUAUAGCAUGCAAUUAACAAUUAAAAGGCGGAAUCAUGCUUGUAUGCACUCAAAAACAAAACAUUACCAUGAAAUUCAAAGCCUAGUAGAUUGGUGAA
RNAcentral lists this long non-coding RNA (271 nucleotides) under Malus domestica (apple). RNAcentral's name for it is "long non-coding RNA (MDOM_LNC019592)". The record is from RNAcentral. Lineage: Eukaryota; Viridiplantae; Streptophyta; Magnoliopsida; Rosales; Rosaceae.